AUUCUGAGAAAUGAAUGAAAUCUUGCCAUUUGCAAACACAUGGUAGGAGCUAGAGAGUAUCGUGCUAAGCAAGAUAAUACGGUCAGAGAAAGACAAA
Long non-coding RNA from Lynx canadensis (Canada lynx), 97 nucleotides. RefSeq lists it as uncharacterized. The record is from RefSeq and is a predicted model, not a curated record. Lineage: Eukaryota; Metazoa; Chordata; Mammalia; Carnivora; Felidae. The transcript has 3 exons.